UAGGGAAUCUUCGGCAAUGGACGAAAGUCUGACCGAGCAACGCCGCGUGAGUGAAGAAGGUUUUCGGAUCGUAAAACUCUGUUGUUAGAGAAGAACAAGGACGAUAGUAACUGAACGUCCCCUGACGGUAUCUAACCAGAAAGCCACGGCUAACUACGUGCCAGCAGCCGCGGUAAUACGUAGGUGGCAAGCGUUGUCCGGAUUUAUUGGGCGUAAAGCGAGCGCAGGCGGUUUCUUAAGUCUGAUGUGAAAGCCCCCGGAUCAACCGGAGAGGGUCAUUGGAAACUGGGAGACUUGAGUGCAGAAGAGGAGAGUGGAAUUCCAUGUGUAGCGGUGAAAUGCGUAGAUAUAUGGAGGAACACCAGUGGCGAAGGCGGCUCUCUGGUCUGUAACUGACGCUGAGGCUCGAAAGCGUGGGGAGCAAACAGG
This 429-nucleotide ribosomal RNA is filed under the name Chloroflexota bacterium. RNAcentral describes it as "Chloroflexi bacterium partial 16S ribosomal RNA". It matches the Rfam family "Bacterial small subunit ribosomal RNA", at positions 355 to 776 of the family's 1533-position model. Lineage: Bacteria; Bacillati; Chloroflexota. The record is from RNAcentral.